This 932-nucleotide ribosomal RNA is filed under the name Asetacus cunninghamiae. RNAcentral describes it as "partial 28S ribosomal RNA". It matches the Rfam family "Eukaryotic large subunit ribosomal RNA", at positions 366 to 944 of the family's 3401-position model. Lineage: Eukaryota; Metazoa; Arthropoda; Arachnida; Trombidiformes; Diptilomiopidae. The record is from RNAcentral.
AAAUAGAACUUUGCAGAGAGAGUCAACAGGGCGUGAAACCGUUAAUUGGCAAACGAAUCGGAGCCACGAAGUCGUUUCGUUGAUCAGUUGUGCCGAGUUCAGUUUGAUUCAAGAGAAUUGAGCGUAUUCUCGUGUGCAACCAAAAAUCACUGUAAGCGUACACUGCAACCGGUUAGACAAUUGGCAAUGGGCCCAGCAAGUGUUGGCUGCAAAGCCUUCAUGAGCGAAGCAUUUGUUUGUGUGCGUAGGUAGUGGCGUGGGUUUGCUUCGGCUUUCCUGUGUUGCUGGACGUAUGCAAGUGAACUAUUACCAAAUACUGACUGGCAAAUUGAAAAUCGCUCCGGCGUUAUACACAAUGCGGCAGCAGAGAGCAGCGUCUACACGUUUGACCGUAGAGUUUAAGCUCAGCAUUUUUGAAUUUGGACUUGCUCGCUACCAGUGGGGCAACUCCUGGCGCUUGUAUAGCUUUCAUCUAAUCGGGUGUUGACUUGGCUUUGCGUCGUUUAGGCGUGCAUCGUUUGGGUGUUGCUUUUAUGUUGUUCGCCACUUGAAUUGGCAGUGAGUAGGUCGGCUUUCCGAACGACCCGUCUUGAAACACGGACCAAGGAGUCUAAUUAGGCAUCGAGUCGAUCGGUCUUGAUAGGCCAGAUAGGAGAACUCGUUUUCCAACUGAAGGCGUAGAGAAAUCAAAUCAUGUGAUCGUUGGGCUAAUACACAAGCCUGACGCGCAACAUGUGCCUGUUCGUAUAGCAAUGUGCGUUAAAACACUUGCUGGGCGGAGCAAAGAGAUGCCUGAUUGGUACCCGAAAGAUGGUGAACUAUGCUUGGGCAAAUUGAAGCCAGAGGAAACUCUGGUGGAGGAUUGUAGCGAUUCUGACGUGCAAAUCGAUCGUCAGACCUGAGUAUAGGGGCGAAAGACUAAUCGAACCAUC